GACGAACGCUGGCGGCGUGCCUAAUACAUGCCAGUAGAACGCUGAAGGAGGAGCUUGCUUCUCUGGAUGAGUUGCGAACGGGUGAGUAACGCGUAGGUAACCUGCCUGGUAGCGGGGGAUAACUAUUGGAAACGAUAGCUAAUACCGCAUAAGAGUAGAUGUUGCAUGACAUUUGCUUAAAAGGUGCAAUUGCAUCACUACCAGAUGGACCUGCGUUGUAUUAGCUAGUUGGUGAGGUAACGGCUCACCAAGGCAACGAUACAUAGCCGACCUGAGAGGGUGAUCGGCCACACUGGGACUGAGACACGGCCCAGACUCCUACGGGAGGCAGCAGUAGGGAAUCUUCGGCAAUGGACGGAAGUCUGACCGAGCAACGCCGCGUGAGUGAAGAAGGUUUUCGGAUCGUAAAGCUCUGUUGUAAGAGAAGAACGAGUGUGAGAGUGGAAAGUUCACACUGUGACGGUAUCUUACCAGAAAGGGACGGCUAACUACGUG
This 495-nucleotide ribosomal RNA is filed under the name uncultured bacterium. RNAcentral describes it as "partial 16S ribosomal RNA". It matches the Rfam family "Bacterial small subunit ribosomal RNA", at positions 28 to 507 of the family's 1533-position model. The record is from RNAcentral.